Molecule: long non-coding RNA, 288 nt
Organism: Arabidopsis thaliana (thale cress)
Lineage: Eukaryota; Viridiplantae; Streptophyta; Magnoliopsida; Brassicales; Brassicaceae
Product: other RNA
Exons: 1
Source: RefSeq
AGAUAACCACCCACUCCCACCUAAGUUUAAACUCUUUGUCACAUAAAAGGCAAUCAUGAUCCAGAGAUACAAAAGAAAGGUUAAAAGAUUAUUGAUGAGCUAAUGAAGAAAAUUCUCACUCUUGAGGUACAUGAUCGCAGAAGACUCGUGAUAUGUCCCAAUAAGAGUUGCCCAUCAACUCCAUGAUCGCAGAAGACUCUUCUACCUCAAAGGAUCAACAAGGACUUCAAAUACUCUUACAUCCCGUACACACUUUAAGGUUAUAAGAGUAUGGUCCUCUCUUCCAUU